Molecule: ribosomal RNA, 196 nt
Filed under: uncultured bacterium
Lineage: Bacteria
Description: partial 16S ribosomal RNA
Rfam family: Bacterial small subunit ribosomal RNA
Source: RNAcentral
AUCCUCUAGAGAUUCCACGGGAGGCAGCAGUAAGGAAUAUUGCGCAAUGGACGAAAGUCUGACGCAGCGACGCCGCGUGGGGGAUGAAGGUCUUCGGAUUGUAAACCCCUUUCGGCAGGGAAGAUGGAACGGGUAACCGUUCGGGCGGUACCUGCAGAAGCAGCCACGGCUAACUUCGUGCCAGCAGCCGCGGUAA